GAUGAAGAACGCAGCGAAAUGCGAUAAGUAAUGUGAAUUGCAGAAUUCAGUGAAUCAUCGAAUCUUUGAACGCACCUUGCGCCCUUUGGACUUCUGAAGGGCAUGCCUGUUUGAGUAUCAUGAACACCUCAACUCCUUAUGGUCUUCCAUGAUGAGCUUGGACUUUGGGGGUUUUGCUGGCCUACAGUCAGCUCCUCUAAAAUAAAUCAGCUUACCGGUGUUUGGUGGGUAUCAUGGGUGUGAUAACUAUCUACGCUCGUGGUUUUCCACCAGGUAACCUUCAGCAGUGGAGGUUCACUGGAGCUCAUAGAUGUCUCUCCUCAGCGAGGACAGCCCUUUGAAUGUUUGAUCUCAAAUCAGGUAGGACUACCCGCUGAACUUAAGCAUAUCAAUAAGAGGAGGA
RNAcentral lists this unclassified non-coding RNA (403 nucleotides) under soil metagenome. Its description in RNAcentral is "partial contains 5.8S ribosomal RNA, internal transcribed spacer 2, and large subunit ribosomal RNA". The stretch from base 1 to 120 matches the Rfam family "5.8S ribosomal RNA", at positions 35 to 154 of the family's 154-position model. The record is from RNAcentral.